AUGAACGGAUUGGUGUGGAAUUGUCGGGGAAUCGGCGGCUCCCGGACAGUUCGUGACCUUGUGACCCUCAAUCAAGUACACCAUCCUCGCUUUAUCUUCUUAUGUGAGACUAGACAAAGCAAAGAUAGAGUUCAGCGACUGCAUAACCGGCUUGGUCUGAAAGGCUUUGCUGGUGUGAGUAGUGAAGGGCUAAGUGGAGGAUUAGCCCUCUUCUGGGAUGAGCACUUGUAUGUGGAGAUAAAAGAGGCUAAUCAGAGAUACAUUGACGCACACAUUGGUACAGCUCCGGGCAAUGUGACAUGGCAAUUAACUUGUGUGUAUGGCGAGCCAGGGUGGAGAAUAGAUACCUUAUGUGGGAUAAAAUGCGGGAGCUUAAAGCAAAGUCAGACUUACCAUGGACUGUUGUUGGCGAUUUUAACGAGGCUAUCUGGCAGUUUGAGCACUUCUCCCUCACUCGCCGCGCCGAGAGCCAGAUGGAGGCCUUUCGUGGAGCUCUGGAUGAUUGUGCACUCACUGAUCUUGGAUUUAGAGGCGUCCCUUUCACUUAUGAUAACAAACGUGCCGGCAGAAAGAAUGUCAGAGUACGACUCGAUCGGGUCGUCGCGAAUGAUGUUUGGCGGGAUAUUUUUCCGGAUGCCUCGGUGGAACAUAUUGUAA
This 657-nucleotide ribosomal RNA is filed under the name Triticum aestivum (bread wheat). RNAcentral describes it as "partial small subunit ribosomal RNA". The record is from RNAcentral. Lineage: Eukaryota; Viridiplantae; Streptophyta; Magnoliopsida; Poales; Poaceae.